Molecule: non-coding RNA, 145 nt
Filed under: unclassified sequences
Description: IS605-orfB-II RNA
Rfam family: IS605-orfB-II RNA
Source: Rfam by way of RNAcentral
CAUGAUUGGCUUAGCCAGGAUUGUUUAGAGGGUAGUCGCAGUCACCCCAACUCCGACUGGUUAGAUUGCUUUGUCAGUCUAAUUAGUAAGGUGAGAAACAACUAUUGUUGGAAACUUUAAUUUUUUUAAAAAAUUAAGGAACUGU